AAUUUUGGAAAAUGGGGGAAACCCUGAUCCAGCCAUCCCGCGUGUGUGAUGAAGGCCUUCGGGUUGUAAAGCACUUUUGACAGGGAAGAAAUAGCAUGGGCUAAUAUCCUCUGUGAAUGACGGUACCUGUAGAACAAGCACCGGCUAACUACGUGCCAGCAGCCGCGGUAAUACGUAGGGUGCAAGCGUUAAUCGGAAUUACUUGGCGUAAAGAGUACGCAGGCGGCUAGGAAAGAAAGAUGUGAAAUCCCAGGGCUCAACCUUGGAACUGCAUUCUUAACUACCUAGCUAGAGUAUGUCAGAGGGGGGUAGAAUUCCACGUGUAGCAGUGAAAUGCGUAGAGAUGUGGAGGAAUACCGAUGGCGAAGGCAGCGCCCUGGGAUAAUACUGACGCACAGGUACGAAAGCGUGGGGGGCAAACAG
Molecule: ribosomal RNA, 423 nt
Filed under: uncultured bacterium
Lineage: Bacteria
Description: partial 16S ribosomal RNA
Rfam family: Bacterial small subunit ribosomal RNA
Source: RNAcentral